UGCUGGGAAUGCAAACAGUAUUAUAAGAAUUUGUCGUUGAUGGGAGAAGAGUUAAAGAAACGGAAAAAUCAAGUCUCGCGUCACCGACAUAGAUACGAAAGACCAAAUACACCAGAAGGUUUUUGGGAUUUAGAAUUUCCUGAAACAUCAUCCACUUACCGGCAAAAAUUAAAUUGAGACAUAAUCAAUUACAAACAAGUA
Molecule: long non-coding RNA, 201 nt
Organism: Camponotus floridanus (Florida carpenter ant)
Lineage: Eukaryota; Metazoa; Arthropoda; Insecta; Hymenoptera; Formicidae
Exons: 3
Source: RefSeq, a predicted model, not a curated record